RNAcentral lists this ribosomal RNA (463 nucleotides) under uncultured bacterium. RNAcentral describes it as "partial 16S ribosomal RNA". It matches the Rfam family "Bacterial small subunit ribosomal RNA", at positions 28 to 507 of the family's 1533-position model. The record is from RNAcentral.
GAUGAACGCUGACAGAAUGCUUAACACAUGCAGGUCGAUGGGGAAGUGGUGCUUGCACCAUGGUAACCAUGGCGGACGGGUGAGUAACACGUAAGGAACUUACCUGCGGGACCGGGAUAACAGCAGGAAACUGCUGACAAGACCGGAUAAGGUCAUUAAGCUGCAUAGCUUAGUGAUGAAAGGAGACGCCUGCGGAGAGCCUUGCGUCCUAUUAGCUAGUUGGAGGGGUAACGGCCCACCAAGGCGAAGAUAGGUAGCCGGCCUGAGAGGGUGGACGGCCACAAGGGGACUGAGAUACGGCCCUUACUCCUACGGGAGGCAGCAGUGGGGAAUAUUGGACAAUGGGGGCAACCCUGAUCCAGCAAUUCUGUGUGCACGAAGACGGUUUUCGGAUUGUAAAGUGCUUUCAGCAGGGAAGAAGGAAGUGACGGUACCUGCAGAAGAAGCGACGGCUAAAUACGUG